RNAcentral lists this ribosomal RNA (700 nucleotides) under Syncephalis parvula. RNAcentral's name for it is "eukaryotic LSU rRNA". The stretch from base 163 to 315 matches the Rfam family "5.8S ribosomal RNA". Lineage: Eukaryota; Fungi; Zoopagomycota; Zoopagomycetes; Zoopagales; Piptocephalidaceae. The record is from RNAcentral.
GAGGUUAUCAUUCUUUGAUAUACCACUGUGGUGUAAUGUGUGUCGAAUUGGCGGCGAUGCUGUGUGUGUGCCCUUGGGCAUGUGCAUGCGCGCCGCCAGCAACAAACCCUAUUUUAAACUACUAGCUGUCUGAUUACUCUCUGUAAAGAAACAAUCUUAUACAACUGCUAGCAACGGAUCACUCGGCUCUCGCGUCGAUGAAGAACGUAGCAAAGUGCGAAAAUUAAUGCAACACGCAACACGUGAGUCAUCGAGUCUUUGAACGCAUAUUGCACCCGACAGGCUCGCUUGUCGGGUCUGCCUGUUUGAGUAUCAGAUCGGACCCAGCAGCCGACGACGGGGGCGUGGAACAGGGUUUUGCGACUCUGCUUUGCGCAUCCGCGUCGACUAGCCGGUGCUCGCUGCGCAGCAAUGUGCGGCGGAAAUGGGGUUUUGGGGGAGCGCUUGCGCAACCCCAUUCCCUGAAAUGUAUUGGCCGACCGGCGCAUCCUCGAUGUCGCUGCGCUUGGACUGCGGGCCGUUUAGCAAUGUUAAUCAUCCGCAAGGGUGUCUUUGUUAAGUUGCCGGGUUAUUCAACGAGCGUGGCGCGAUGUCCAAACCGACCACCCUUGCACAUGCACGAAAGUGCGUGCGCAAACCGCAGCGCGGGCAACCGCGUUUGCACCCACCAACUUGAUCUCAAAUCAGGCAGGAUGACCCG